Molecule: ribosomal RNA, 726 nt
Filed under: Triticum aestivum (bread wheat)
Lineage: Eukaryota; Viridiplantae; Streptophyta; Magnoliopsida; Poales; Poaceae
Description: partial small subunit ribosomal RNA
Source: RNAcentral
AUGUUGUCCAAGGCCGACAAGCUCCAAGACUACGCUCCCAAGUUCGACUCCACCGCCAUCCCUCUUUGUGGCAUUAAUGACGCCGAGUCUACUUCGACUCUUUUUCAAGACGAUGCAGCGACGAGUACAACUAUGGAGACCCUCAAGGAGCAAGUUUUGAAGGCGAGCGACACGGUGGCAAGCAAGGAUGAUGCUUCCAUCUUUGGAGGCAAGAGUGAUGAUGUGCCAUCUUCGGCGUUCUUCCACGGUGAUGACGGCGAGAAGGUUGAGCAUGGGACUAUCCCUUCAACCAAGGCGGCGAUAGGCGUUGAGCAUGGAGACAUUGGCACCAACAUCUCUCCGACACCCACACAUGAGAGCAUGCCACACACCCUAUGUGAGGUUGAGAGCCAUUUGAGUGACUCCACCAACUAUACGAGUGAGAGAAUCCAAGAGGGAGUGAGUGAGCCACAACACUUAGUGAGUGAGGUAGUUGAGAGGGCACGUGAGGCCACUAUGAUUUCUCACGACUUAACCUCUGCUCCGAGUGUGUUUUCCUCUUUGGUGCUAGGUCUCCUACAUGACGACAUGCCUAUCCUCGACGAGUCCACACCUCCAAUGGAGAUGACGAUGGCCAUGGUGGAUGAUGAUGCACCCCCCACAUGGUUCCAUCAAGAUGAAGAUACAAUGAGUGGAUCUUCGACACCUCACCUACAACACAUGAGCGACACUUCAAAGGUAACAUAG